Molecule: non-coding RNA, 328 nt
Organism: Schizosaccharomyces pombe (fission yeast)
Lineage: Eukaryota; Fungi; Ascomycota; Schizosaccharomycetes; Schizosaccharomycetales; Schizosaccharomycetaceae
Source: the annotation of a GenBank genome assembly
UUUAGAAUGCUUAUACUAUUCAUGUAAACGCUAAUUAAAAGCUAUAAUUCCCGUUCAGCCUAUAUUAAUUUUGAAUUUUGAAAUUUUCAUAACCUACCGCUACUUAUAUUGUUAAUGAAUCUUAAAUGCGUAGAAUGUUUAAUUCUUUUCCUAGCCGUCCGUUAAUGAUUAAAAGAUUGCAUAAAGAUAAAAAGGACCGUUGUUCAAACAGGUAGAAAACUUGUAUUGUCGUACAUGCAGCAGCUUAUCCACACCGUAAAAUUAUUUUUGUAUAAGUUUCGGCAAUGGUACUAAUCAAAUUUAGUUUUUCAACGGUACUUAUACACAG